Molecule: ribosomal RNA, 432 nt
Filed under: uncultured bacterium
Lineage: Bacteria
Description: partial 16S ribosomal RNA
Rfam family: Bacterial small subunit ribosomal RNA
Source: RNAcentral
AACGAACGCUGGCGGCAUGCCUAACACAUGCAAGUCGAACGAGACCUUCGGGUCUAGUGGCGCACGGGUGCGUAACGCGUGGGAACCUGCCCUUAGGUUCGGAAUAACUCCCCGAAAGGGGUGCUAAUACCGGAUAAUGUCUUCGGACCAAAGAUUUAUCGCCUUUGGAUGGGCCCGCGUUGGAUUAGCUAGUUGGUAGGGUAAAAGCCUACCAAGGCGACGAUCCAUAGCUGGUCUGAGAGGAUGAUCAGCCACACUGGGACUGAGACACGGCCCAGACUCCUACGGGAGGCAGCAGUGGGGAAUAUGGGACAAUGGGCGAAAGCCUGAUCCAGCAAUGCCGCGUGAGUGAUGAAGGCCUUAGGGUUGUAAAGCUCUUUUACCGGGAUGAUAAUGACAGUACCGGGAGAAUAAGCUCCGGCUAACUCCGUG